UUCGCCCUUAGAGUUUGAUCCUGGCUCAGGGACGAACGCUGGCGGCGCGCCUAACACAUGCAAGUCGAACGAGCGAGAGAGAGCUUGCUUUCUCGAGCGAGUGGCGAACGGGUGAGUAACGCGUGAGGAACCUGCCUCAAAGAGGGGGACAACAGUUGGAAACGACUGCUAAUACCGCAUAAGCCCACAGCUCGGCAUCGAGCAGAGGGAAAAGGAGCAAUCCGCUUUGAGAUGGCCUCGCGUCCGAUUAGCUAGUUGGUGAGGUAAUGGCCCACCAAGGCAACGAUCGGUAGCCGGACUGAGAGGUUGAACGGCCACAUUGGGACUGAGACACGGCCCAGACUCCUACGGGAGGCAGCAGUGGGGAAUAUUGCACAAUGGGGGAAACCCUGAUGCAGCGACGCCGCGUGGAGGAAGAAGGUCUUCGGAUUGUAAACUCCUGUUGUUGAGGAAGAUAAUGACGGUACUCAACAAGGAAGUGACGGCUAACUACGUGCCAGCAGCCGCGGUAAAACGUAGGUCACAAGCGUUGUCCGGAAUUACUGGGUGUAAAGGGAGCGCAGGCGGGAAGACAAGUUGGAAGUGAAAUCUAUGGGCUCAACCCAUAAACUGCUUUCAAAACUGUUUUUCUUGAGUAGUGCAGAGGUAGGCGGAAUUCCCGGUGUAGCGGUGGAAUGCGUAGAUAUCGGGAGGAACACCAGUGGCGAAGGCGGCCUACUGGGCACCAACUGACGCUGAGGCUCGAAAGUGUGGGUAGCAAACAGGAUUAGAUACCCUGGUAGUCCACACCGUAAACGAUGAUUACUAGGUGUGGGAGGAUUGACCCCUUCAGUGCCGCAGUUAACACAAUAAGUAAUCCACCUGGGGAGUACGACCGCAAGGUUGAAACUCAAAGGAAUUGACGGGGGCCCGCACAAGCAGUGGAGUAUGUGGUUUAAUUCGACGCAACGCGAAGAACCUUACCAAGUCUUGACAUCCUGCGACGAUGCUGGAAACAGUAUUUUCCUUCGGGACGCAGAGACAGGUGGUGCAUGGUUGUCGUCAGCUCGUGUCGUGAGAUGUUGGGUUAAGUCCCGCAACGAGCGCAACCCUUACUGUCAGUUACUACGCAAGAGGACUCUGGCAGGACUGCCGUUGACAAAACGGAGGAAGGUGGGGAUGACGUCAAAUCAUCAUGCCCUUUAUGACUUGGGCUACACACGUACUACAAUGGCGUUAAACAAAGAGAAGCAAGACCGCGAGGUGGAGCAAAACUCAGAAACAACGUCCCAGUUCGGACUGCAGGCUGCAACUCGCCUGCACGAAGUCGGAAUUGCUAGUAAUCGUGGAUCAGCAUGCCACGGUGAAUACGUUCCCGGGCCUUGCACACACAGCCCGUCA
Molecule: ribosomal RNA, 1380 nt
Filed under: uncultured bacterium
Lineage: Bacteria
Description: 16S ribosomal RNA
Rfam family: Bacterial small subunit ribosomal RNA
Source: RNAcentral